UAAUUAUCUCAAAACAGAAUUGACAAUUCUUCAAUAUAAAAACAAACAUUAGUGCAAAAAUUGGUAAAAUGAAUAUAAUCUACAAUAAACUUAGUUCAACUUUAUAAUGAAUUUAGUCAAGAAAUCAUUAGCUCAACUGAACAAUUUCUCUUCUUUUGGGAACUUGAAGAGCAUUGAUUUUUUUUUAUUUGUAACCUGCAAACAGAGAGGAAACAAAAAACAUUAUUUCUAAAAAAACACAACCAAAUAAAAAUGAAAUAAUAUUGUAGGAACUCAUAAUAGAGAAAGAAAAUUCCUCACUAGCUAAUUAAACUUACUAAAUCAAAGGGCUUUCUAUUAGCUAAAUUAUUGCCUUCUAGUUACCGGUCUACAACUAACAUGUAAAAGAGCAAUCUAAUUCUUAAAAAAUAGAAUAAUAGUUAUAAUAAAAAAAAAUAUAAAAGAAAUCAUUGUAAUGUUCAAAUAAUAUAUUACAUGCAUUUUGUAAGGAAAAAAAAAGUCUAAGCUUGAAUAAACUAAAACCUAUGCGCAUAUACAAAUCACAUGCACCCUUUGAAGUUUAAGCAAUAUAAAAGACAAAUAUCAUGAUAAAAAUAUUUUAGAAAUGAUUCCCGUUAAAUUAGCACACUAUUAGCACUCAUAUAUUUUUAAUAAUUAUAUGGUCCAUAUUAUUAUUAAAUUGCAACAAAAUGCAAGGGAACCAUUAGAAAUUUAUUGUCAAUAGUUAAUCCCAAACCAAGUAUUUGAUCAAAAGCUUUUAAAUAAUAAGAUCCAAAAAAAAAAAAGAAUAAAUUAAAAUAAAAAGGAAAAAGAGAAAAAGAAACUAUUUAAUAAUAUAGAAAUGGAGAGAGAGAAAGCCCAUUCAAGAAUAUAUUUCUAUUUUUUAAAAUCAUGAAAGUACGUAGAAUAAUGGAAAAGACAUAAAGAAUUGAUUCUUUAAACUCUUUUUCAAUCAAUAUCCAAGCAUCUUGUGGAGCAUGACAACAAGAAUCCUUAUAUUUAUAGCAAUCUAUAAUGAGCUUAUUUUCCCAAUAUAUCAUAUAAAUUUUUAGAAUUUUCCGUAUUCAAUUAUCCAAUUUAUAAUGAGAUUAUAUAUAUAUAUAUAUAUAUAUAUAUUGGGAGGACAUGGUUUUCAUUCCCUAAAUAAAUGCGUAUGCAUAUAUAUCUUUUAUUUUUUCCUAUAUUUGACAAUCACAAAAAAAAAAAAAAAAAACAAAAAACAAAAAAGCAAACAGUAAAACAAUAAAUGGUUUAAGUUUAUUACGACUAUUUUUUAAUCUUUUGCUCUACAUUUUUGCUACACUUUUUGUUUUCUAAUUUUAAAAUAGAAAAUAAUAAUAUAUUUUAUAUAAAAAUAAAAUAAAAUUCCUAACAAAUUACAUUAAAAAAAUAAAAUGAUUUUUAAAAAUUAUUUAAAAUAGUAUUAACAUUAUGUAUAGUAAAUUUAUAAAAUACUAAUAGAGGAAGAAAUUAAAAAGUGUUAAUGUAUAUGAUAAAACCCAUGCAUUCCUUCCAAUAUAUUUUACUAAAUUACAAAUAAAAACUUGUAGAAUAUAAUUUUUCUACAUAUGACAUAAUUCAUGGUCUAGAGAGACUAUUAUUGUUGAACCUCCUAAAACCAAUAAGAGAAAAUGAGUUAGAACAAAAUAUCAUGGUUAUAAAUAGUCAAGAUUUCUCAAGUGUAACUAUUGUGAAAUUUUAAAUAGAACUACUGUGAGUUUUAAAAUUAGUUAAUAAUAUUAAUGGAUCGCCUCAAAUCCAUCACUUCUAUGUUAUUUUUAUAGUGAAGAAAUUUAUCCAAUUCUCUAACCUAAAUUAUUAACAACCUUACCUAAAACAUUACAAAGAGAGAAUAGAUUGAGAUCUAAAUGUGUUUCAAGGGAGGUAAAAGGUACAUCAACAUCCAGUUUUGCUAAAAGCUCCUUAAGGCUGACUAUUGAUAAAAAUGUUAAGUACCAACAUAAAAAAUCUAAUGUUGAAAAAUACGUAGAGACAUCACAAUUGAAUUACACAACCUGCAACAUCAAAAUUCUCCAUACUCUUAUAAAUGAAAUAAAAAGAGGAAUAACAAGGCUACUAGUGUGCGAGAGAUUCUGCACCAUAACCCACAUGUAAAAGAGAAUAAAAAAUUCAUUUAAUCCUCAACAUCAUAUCACUCAACUAGAAGAUAACACAAUCCACUAAUUUUCAUAUUGGCAUACAAUUUUUUUUAGGCACACAAUUUUCAAUAAAUGAAAACUUAUAAAAAUAAUAAAUAUAUAAAUUCAAGUAAAGGAAUAGGAUUGUACCUUUGCUAAGAUGAUGUCCAAAAGAUCAAGUCUCAUUUUGGGCCAAAACGCUCCAUUUGAUGCUUGUAAACCAACAAAAACCAUUAAAAAAUAAAUCCUUCCCAUUUAAAUAAAACAAACAAGAAAUAAUAAUAAUAAUAAUAAUAAUAAUAAAUAAAUAAAUAAAUAAAUUAAGAGAGAUGCAUGCCAUCCAAGUGGCUUGAUGGGGACUUAGAAGUUAGGACAAAGCACUGAAUCUCUCAUCUCUAAUGUAGGAAUAGAGCACCUCAUUUCUCCACUACCUGUCAAUGCACAUUGUUAGAUCACUUUAAAUAUCUUCUCUUAAUAAUGCUAUCUGUUCAAAAACAUGUAAUUUCUCAUUUAACAGAAUUUUUAAUGUAAUUAAAAAUAAGAUCAGUAUGCAACAAAGAUUCCAAUCUCUAAUGGUUUUGAACCAUUCAAGUUCAAGAUCAAGUCAAACCAAAAAAACUAAUGAUAAUAAUAAAUAACUAAAAAAUUAAAAAUAAAGAAAAAGUUUCUAUUUAGUUGAAAAUUUCAAAUUGACCAAACCUUCAGUAUAUUUAUAAAAAUUCAAAACCUUGUGAACAAUGAUUUCAUGAACAAAAUCAAAUUUUGUUAUCUUGAGAUAAGGGAUAGAGUACUCAUAAAUGUCUAAAAUGAACAAAUUGAAGAAAAAUGUGAAAAAAUGAGUUUUUUAGCUGGUAAUAAUUGUUUUAACUCGUUAAUAAAAACGUGAAAUUAUUUUGUUUUCUCAAAAUCAGAAAGAAAAAAAAAACUAUUUCAUUUUCUCCAUAUAAAAAACCUAAAAAAACAAAAACUAUGCAAAAACUGUUUCAUUUCCUCUAGAUUAGGAAAACUAAAAACCUUAUUUCAUUUUUUUUUUCCGAUCAGAAAAACUAAAAAGAAAAAAAUAAAUUUCAUUUUCUCCAGAUCAGAGAAAUAAUAUAUAUAUAUCAUUUUCUCCUGAUAAAAAAACCAAACAAAACAAACAAUUCCAUUACAUCCGUAUCAGAAAAACUAAAUAAAAACAAAAACUAUUUCAUUUUCUCUUGAUUAAAAAAAAAAACUAUUUUUUUUUCUCUAGAUCUGAAAAACUAAAACAGAAAAACCUCAGAAAGUUGGAGGCCAUUUUCGUUGUAGAGGCUCAAGAUUUCUCAUUGCAAUUGCUCAUUCAUAGUGAGAUUGAACUUGUCAAGAUCAGAACCUGCCAGAUCUCUUGAUUUCAUCUACAAUCUAUGGGUAGAAACCAC
Molecule: long non-coding RNA, 3538 nt
Filed under: Vitis vinifera (wine grape)
Lineage: Eukaryota; Viridiplantae; Streptophyta; Magnoliopsida; Vitales; Vitaceae
Description: long non-coding RNA (VVIN_LNC005825)
Source: RNAcentral